Molecule: ribosomal RNA, 800 nt
Filed under: uncultured bacterium
Lineage: Bacteria
Description: bacterial SSU rRNA
Rfam family: Bacterial small subunit ribosomal RNA
Source: RNAcentral
AGAGUUUGAUCCUGGCUCAGAUUGAACGCUGGCGGCAUGCCUUACACAUGCAAGUCGAGCGGCAGCGCGGGGGCAACCCUGGCGGCGAGCGGCGAACGGGUGAGUAAUACAUCGGAACGUGUCCAGUAGUGGGGGAUAACCAGUCGAAAGAUUGGCUAAUACCGCAUACGAUCUACGGAUGAAAGCGGGGGACCGCAAGGCCUCGCGCUAUUGGAGCGGCCGAUGUCGGAUUAGCUAGUUGGCGGGGUAAAAGCCCACCAAGGCGACGAUCCGUAGCUGGUCUGAGAGGACGAUCAGCCACACUGGAACUGAGACACGGUCCAGACUCCUACGGGAGGCAGCAGUGGGGAAUUUUGGACAAUGGGCGCAAGCCUGAUCCAGCCAUGCCGCGUGAGUGAAGAAGGCCUUCGGGUUGUAAGGCUCUUUCGGCGGGGACGAAAUGGUCCGUGUCAACACCACGGACUGAUGACGGUACUCGCAGAAGAAGCACCGGCUAACUACGUGCCAGCAGCCGCGGUAAUACGUAGGGUGCGGGCGUUAAUCGGAAUUACUGGGCGUAAAGCGUGCGCAGGCGGCUCCUUAAGUCAGAUGUGAAAUCCCCGGGCUUAACCUGGGAACUGCGUUUGAAACUGGGGAGCUAGAGUGUGGAAGAGGGGGGUGGAAUUCCAGGUGUAGCAGUGAAAUGCGUAGAUAUCUGGAGGAACACCGAUGGCGAAGGCAGCCCCCUGGGCUAACACUGACGCUCAUGCACGAAAGCGUGGGGGAGCAAAACAGGAUUAGAUACCCUGGUAGUCCACGCC